ACGCUCGACACCUACGGGGGCAGCAGUGGGGAAUAUUGCACAAUGGGGGAAACCCUGAUGCAGCGACGCCGCGUGAGCGAAGAGGUAUUUCGGUAUGUAAAGCUCUAUCAGCAGGGAAGAAACUGACGGUACCUGACUAAGAAGCACCGGCUAAAUACGUGCCAGCAGCCACGGUAAUCUGAGGCGGGCUGGCAAGGC
RNAcentral lists this ribosomal RNA (198 nucleotides) under uncultured bacterium. RNAcentral describes it as "partial 16S ribosomal RNA". It matches the Rfam family "Bacterial small subunit ribosomal RNA", at positions 328 to 539 of the family's 1533-position model. The record is from RNAcentral.